CGGGACAGCCUCGGGAAACCGUGGGUAAUACCGGAUACUCCGGGACGGCCGCAUGGCCGGCCCGGGAAAGCCCAGACGGGAGGGGAUGGGCCCGCGGCCUGUUAGCUAGUCGGCGGGGUAACGGCCCACCGAGGCGAUUAUGAGUAGCCGGGUUGAGAGACCGACCGGCCAGAUUGGGACUGAGACACGGCCCAGACUCCUACGGGAGGCAGCAGUGGGGAAUCUUGCGCAAUGGGCGGAAGCCUGACGCAGCGACGCCGCGUGCGGGACGAAGGCCUUCGGGUCGUAAACCGCUUUCAGCAGGGACGAGGCCCUCACGGUGACGGUACCUGCAGAAGAAGCCCCGGCUAACUACGUGCCAGCAGCCGCGGUAAUACGUAGGGGGCGAGCGUUAUCCGGAUUCAUUGGGCGUAAAGCGCGCGUAGGCGGCCUGUUAGGUCGGGGGUCAAAUACCGGGGCUCAACCCCGGUCCGCCCCCGAUACCGGCAGGCUUGAGUCUGGUAGGGGAAGGCGGAAUUCCCAGUGUAGCGGUGGAAUGCGCAGAUAUUGGGAAGAACACCGGCGGCGAAGGCGGCCUUCUGGGCCACGACUGACGCUGAGGCGCGAAAGCUAGGGGAGCGAACAGGAUUAGAUACCCUGGUAGUCCUAGCCGUAAACGAUGAA
Molecule: ribosomal RNA, 663 nt
Filed under: uncultured bacterium
Lineage: Bacteria
Description: bacterial SSU rRNA
Rfam family: Bacterial small subunit ribosomal RNA
Source: RNAcentral